This 67-nucleotide transfer RNA is filed under the name Marmota monax (woodchuck). RNAcentral's name for it is "tRNA.Ala". It matches the Rfam family "tRNA". Rfam says of the family: Transfer RNA (tRNA) molecules are approximately 80 nucleotides in length. Their secondary structure includes four short double-helical elements and three loops (D, anti-codon, and T loops). The record is from RNAcentral. Lineage: Eukaryota; Metazoa; Chordata; Mammalia; Rodentia; Sciuridae.
GGAGGUGGCUCAAGUGGUAGAGCGCUAGCCUGGCAUGCGUGCGGCCUGGGUUCGAUCCUCAGCACCA